This 71-nucleotide transfer RNA is filed under the name Uropterygius macrocephalus. RNAcentral describes it as "tRNA-Ser". It matches the Rfam family "tRNA". Rfam says of the family: Transfer RNA (tRNA) molecules are approximately 80 nucleotides in length. Their secondary structure includes four short double-helical elements and three loops (D, anti-codon, and T loops). Further hydrogen bonds mediate the characteristic L-shaped molecular structure. tRNAs have two regions of fundamental functional importance: the anti-codon, which is responsible for specific mRNA codon recognition, and the 3' end, to which the tRNAs corresponding amino acid is attached (by aminoacyl-tRNA synthetases). tRNAs cope with the degeneracy of the genetic code in two manners: having more than one tRNA (with a specific anti-codon) for a particular amino acid; and 'wobble' base-pairing, i.e. permitting non-standard base-pairing at the 3rd anti-codon position. RNAcentral also lists the same sequence under 1 other name. The record is from RNAcentral. Lineage: Eukaryota; Metazoa; Chordata; Actinopteri; Anguilliformes; Muraenidae.
AAGAAAGUGGCAGAGUGGUUAUGCGUUCGGCUUGAAACCGUUUUAUGGGGGUUCAAUUCCUUCCUUUCUUG